UGAGCAGCAGAAAAUAGAAACUGUUCUAAUAGUAAUGAUAACAUUAAUAAACAAAAGAGACUAAUGUCGACGGUAAUUGGGUUGCAAGAAAAGCUGCUGCAGUGAGAGGGAAGCUAUUUCACUGCCCGUUUGACUUCAAUUGCUGUGAAGUGAGGGCAAAUGCCCUAGAAAUGUCGUAUUUUUAAGUGUCCACUGAAAAUUGCUACAAGCCCAGGCAUUGGCUGGUCUGCAGAUCCCUGAACUUGAGGACAGCAUUGCUUCACUUUCCUUCCUGACUGCUCACUGACUGUUUGUUGAGGCCACUGCAGUAGAAAGGCAGCUCCUUGAGAGCAGAGAAUAUGCCUGCCUGGUUCUACAUUGCAACUGUGUUGCCCAGCACAGAGCAUGGCACAUACUGAGUCCUUGGGACUUCAAGGGCAGAAGACAGCCAACUAGCCACCCACAGGCACUCUGAAGCCAGAUGUAGCCAUGAUCUCUACACAGAGGCGAGGAGAGGCUGAGCACGUGGUCCUCUCAGGUAGGAGGGAGAAGUGACUCCUCCUGGACCUGGGCUGAGCUGACCCCACAGCAGGCUGGAGUGAACUUGUAGCCAGAUAGUAACACCGUCCCCCACCCCCACAAUCCCCCUU
RNAcentral lists this long non-coding RNA (629 nucleotides) under Callithrix jacchus (white-tufted-ear marmoset). RNAcentral describes it as "lncRNA (ENSCJAG00000086830.1)". The record is from RNAcentral. Lineage: Eukaryota; Metazoa; Chordata; Mammalia; Primates; Cebidae.